UGGGGAUUAGCCAAGCGGUAAGGCAACGGACUUUGACUCCGUGAUUCCUAGGUUCGAAUCCUAGAUCCCCAGCCA
Molecule: transfer RNA, 75 nt
Filed under: Thermobacillus sp. ZCTH02-B1
Lineage: Bacteria; Bacillati; Bacillota; Bacilli; Caryophanales; Paenibacillaceae
Also listed under: 1 other name
Description: tRNA-Gln
Rfam family: tRNA
About the family: Transfer RNA (tRNA) molecules are approximately 80 nucleotides in length. Their secondary structure includes four short double-helical elements and three loops (D, anti-codon, and T loops). Further hydrogen bonds mediate the characteristic L-shaped molecular structure. tRNAs have two regions of fundamental functional importance: the anti-codon, which is responsible for specific mRNA codon recognition, and the 3' end, to which the tRNAs corresponding amino acid is attached (by aminoacyl-tRNA synthetases). tRNAs cope with the degeneracy of the genetic code in two manners: having more than one tRNA (with a specific anti-codon) for a particular amino acid; and 'wobble' base-pairing, i.e. permitting non-standard base-pairing at the 3rd anti-codon position.
Source: RNAcentral